AAGUCAUAACAAGGUUUCCGUAGGUGAACCUGCGGAAGGAUCAUUAAUAGUGCUCAUUGACGCAAGUCAGUGAGUUAGAUCUGCUCUCUUCGCAAGAAGAGGGUUUCCAUACACACCGUGAACUGUGGCUUCGGCCAUCACAAACUGUUAGUAAUGAAUGUAAUAUCAUAACAAAAACAAAACUUUUAACAACGGAUCUCUUGGCUCUC
Molecule: unclassified non-coding RNA, 209 nt
Filed under: Vishniacozyma victoriae
Lineage: Eukaryota; Fungi; Basidiomycota; Tremellomycetes; Tremellales; Bulleribasidiaceae
Also listed under: 2 other names
Description: partial internal transcribed spacer region
Rfam family: Eukaryotic small subunit ribosomal RNA (bases 1-46)
Source: RNAcentral